CCAGGUGGUUUAGGCAUAGUUCCUAAAGUCCAGUUGGUUUAGGUGUGGUUUAGGCAUAGUUCCUAAAGUCCAGUUGGUUUAGGUGUGGUUUAGGCAUAGUUCCUAAAGUCCAGUUGGUUUAGGUGUAGUUCCUAUGGUCCAGGUGGUUCAUGUGUGGUUCCUAUUGUCCAGGUGGUUCAGGCGUGUUUCUUAUAGUCCAGGUGGUUCAUGUGUAUUUCCUAUGGUCCAAGUGGUUCAGGUGUAUUUUCGUAGUUCCAAUGGUCCAGGUGGGUCAGGUGUAGUUCCUAUGGUCCAGGUGGUUAGGUGUAAAUCCUAUGAUCCAGGUGGUUCAGGUGUAGUUCCUAUGGUCCAGGUGGUUCAGGUGUAGUUCCUAUGGUCCAGGUGGUUCAUGUGUGGUUCCUAUUGUCCAGGUGGUUCAUGUGUAUUUCCUAUGAUCCAAGUGCUUCAGGUGUAUUUCCGUAGUUCCAAUGGUCCAGGUGGUUCAGGUGUAGUUCCUAUGGUCCAGGUGGUUUAGGUGUAAUUCCUAUGAUCCAGGUGGUUCAGGUGUAGUUCCUAUGGUCCAGGUGUAGUUCCUAUGGUCCAGGUGG
Long non-coding RNA from Austrofundulus limnaeus, 587 nucleotides. RefSeq lists it as uncharacterized. The transcript has 3 exons. Lineage: Eukaryota; Metazoa; Chordata; Actinopteri; Cyprinodontiformes; Rivulidae. The record is from RefSeq and is a predicted model, not a curated record.